Non-coding RNA from Lolium perenne, 485 nucleotides. NCBI's taxonomy places the organism in Eukaryota, Viridiplantae, Streptophyta, Magnoliopsida, Poales, Poaceae. The record is from RefSeq and is a predicted model, not a curated record.
UCUGACUUGUUCAAGACUUCUUUUUUUCUUAUAUUGUUUUCAGGACUGUCACUCAAGUCUUAGGAUUUGACAACAUUAUUUCUGGCUGUUAGAUUGUACAACAUAUUUGUUAUGAAUUGUGACAUCCACAUAAUACUGGAUUCAGCCAGAGAAGGCGGGGAUCCGUGGAUGCCAGUGAGGGAAGCAGCUUGGCUCGGGCCGACCAUGGCGCUAGCGUUGCAACUCGCCGCCAUCCUCCUUCGUCUCCCAUCCACAGCUGGCUCCAACCCCUCCUCUGAUGUGGUGCUAUGAGAGCAAGAAAAAGAGCAGACAUGCUCUGUAUCUACAUCCAGCGUCCACACAGCCAGAUAAUGGAUGUAAUUGUGUGCAUGGAGCUCGCUGAUCUGUGGUUCUUGUGCAACAGAGACCCUUCAGUUAGGUUAUAAAAUCCUUAAUUAUUGGAGCCAUUCAUAUGCAUGUAUCAUGCAUGUAUCAACGAAUGAAGG